AGCGAACGCUGGCGGCAGGCCUAACACAUGCAAGUCGAACGAACCUUUCGGGGUUAGUGGCGGACGGGUGAGUAACACGUGGGAACGUGCCCUUAGGUUCGGAAUAACUCAGGGAAACUUGUGCUAAUACCGAAUGUGCCCUUCGGGCGAAAGAUUUAUCGCCUUUAGAGGGGCCCGCGUCUGAUUAGCUAGUUGGUUGAGGUAAUGGCUCACCAAGGCGACGAUCAGUAGCUGGUCUGAGAGGAUGAUCAGCCACACUGGGACUGAGACACGGCCCAGACUCCUACGGGAAGCAGCAGUGGGGAAUCUUGCACAAUGGGCGAAAGCCUGACGCAGCCAUGCCGCGUGAAUGAUGAAGGUCUUAGGGUUGUAAAGUUCUUUCACCGGGGACGAUAAUGACGGUACCCGGAGAAGAAGCCCCGGCUAACUUCGUG
RNAcentral lists this ribosomal RNA (434 nucleotides) under uncultured bacterium. Its description in RNAcentral is "partial 16S ribosomal RNA". It matches the Rfam family "Bacterial small subunit ribosomal RNA", at positions 29 to 507 of the family's 1533-position model. The record is from RNAcentral.